Molecule: long non-coding RNA, 675 nt
Organism: Panicum virgatum (switchgrass)
Lineage: Eukaryota; Viridiplantae; Streptophyta; Magnoliopsida; Poales; Poaceae
Exons: 2
Source: RefSeq, a predicted model, not a curated record
CCAAGAUCAAGUGACGCUGCCCUGCCACCCACGUCGGCGCUAACUCAGGAGUUCCCCUCGUGAUUCAUGUGAUGCGACGGACAGACGGACGGAUGGGACGACGGCGGCGGCUCUCCCUGAUCUAGUCUCGUCAGGUACCGGGGGCAACCUGAACAUGCAGUUCGCCAGUUUUGCAAUGAAGCUAGCUGGUUCAUCAUCAAAACUAAGUGCGUGAGCACGACAACUUAGAGGUGUAUUUUAUUUUGUAAUAGAUAGAAACUUGUUGGGGGGCGUGAGAGAAGAUUUACCAAGGUACCAAUGCAAAAGGAUUUUGAGAUGAGCUCUGAUUGGCACUCCCCUUGCUAGUUGCUCAUGUCAGAUUGAUGUUCUUUAUUUUCCCCAGUGAUUUUAGGCUACAAGUUGCAAACUGGGUGUUGAAUGCUAAUGCUUUUGAAGUUGCAGCAUCAACUGAAGCCUGCACCUAUACGGCUGUACCAAUCAGAAAGGUCCAGAAAGUGGUGGUUGAAGGAGGAAGAUGUUCAGUUCUGAAGUGUACAUUGUGAUGAUCAUUGAUGUUCUUUUGUAGGUUGUGGCUCUAUUUCAAUCAGCUCCUUUUCUUCUUUUGAUCUGCUUAAGAUAGUAUAACUUGUACCGUUACCGAAUGUUGAUUUGAUAUAGCAAAUUGAUGUGAAUUCA